AGGAGAACUUUGAUCAUCAGAUGAAGCAUUGGGAAGCCUCUUAGUUACACGGAACACCAAAGUUCGUAGAAGAGUGAAAAGUGUGACGAAGAAAGCCAUAACUGCUACAAAUAUUCUAACGUGAAUUCCUUCUGGACUCUUCGGAGUUUCAGGCAGAGCAAGUGUUGCUUUGGAAACAGAAGGCCUCUGAAUGGAUGCUUGCUGUUUCCAACCAGCAUCAACAGCUUUGUCAACCAUAGGAACA
Molecule: unclassified non-coding RNA, 244 nt
Filed under: Hevea brasiliensis (rubber tree)
Lineage: Eukaryota; Viridiplantae; Streptophyta; Magnoliopsida; Malpighiales; Euphorbiaceae
Source: RNAcentral